CAACGCCAAUGACGACAACAACAACACUAAAGACCACAACACCAGUGACAACAACGACAAAUUCACCCAAUGUGAGGAUCUUAACAGUCACCAUGGAUCUGGAAUAUAAGGAGUCAUUCAAUGACAUCACCAGCGAAGUUUUCAAACAAACAAAUAAGGCUAUUCAAGAACAGUGUAGUGAACAUAUCACAGCCAGCCACACAGCAACAUUAAUUAGGUUCCGG
Molecule: long non-coding RNA, 224 nt
Organism: Morone saxatilis (striped sea-bass)
Lineage: Eukaryota; Metazoa; Chordata; Actinopteri; Moronidae
Exons: 3
Source: RefSeq, a predicted model, not a curated record